RNAcentral lists this ribosomal RNA (447 nucleotides) under uncultured bacterium. RNAcentral describes it as "partial 16S ribosomal RNA". It matches the Rfam family "Bacterial small subunit ribosomal RNA", at positions 29 to 523 of the family's 1533-position model. The record is from RNAcentral.
AACGAACGCUGGCGGCAGGCCUAACACAUGCAAGUCGAACGCCCCGCAAAGGGAGUGGCGCACGGGAGAGUAACGCGUGGGAACCUACCUAUUGGUUCGGGACAACACCGGGAAACUGGUGCUAAUACCGGAUAACCCCGAGAGGGAAAAGAUUUAUCGCCGAUAGAUGGGCCCGCGUUAGAUUAGCUAGUUGGUGAGGUAACGGCUCACCAAGGCGACGAUCUAUAACUGGUCUGAGAGGAUGACCAGUCUCACUGGGACUGAGACACGGCCCAGACUCCUACGGGAGGCAGCAGUGGGGAAUAUUGGACAAUGGGGGAAACCCUGAUCCAGCCAUGCCGCGUGAAUGAUGAAGGCCUUCGGGUUGUAAAGUUCUUUUGGUGGGGACGAUGAUGACGGUACCCACAGAAUAAGCUCCGGCUAACUUCGUGCCAGCCGCCGCCGUAA